CUGAAAGCAUCUAAGCGGGAAACUUGCCUCAAGAUGAGAUCUCACUGGAACCUUGAGUUCCCUGAAGGGCCGUCGAAGACUACGACGUUGAUAGGUUGGGUGUGUAAGCGCUGUGAGGCGUUGAGCUAACCAAUACUAAUUGCCCGUGAGGCUUGACCAUAUAACACCCAAGCAAUU
This 177-nucleotide ribosomal RNA is filed under the name Pseudomonas chlororaphis. RNAcentral describes it as "partial 23S ribosomal RNA". It matches the Rfam family "Bacterial large subunit ribosomal RNA", at positions 2771 to 2925 of the family's 2925-position model. Lineage: Bacteria; Pseudomonadati; Pseudomonadota; Gammaproteobacteria; Pseudomonadales; Pseudomonadaceae. The record is from RNAcentral.